Molecule: microRNA precursor, 75 nt
Filed under: Haemonchus placei
Lineage: Eukaryota; Metazoa; Nematoda; Chromadorea; Rhabditida; Trichostrongylidae
Description: mir-5928 microRNA precursor family
Rfam family: mir-5928 microRNA precursor family
Source: Rfam by way of RNAcentral
GGCCAAAAUAUGAAGUAAAGUAGGUUAGUAGGAUUGUCCGACCCUACUGAACUACUCUACUUCAAGUUCGUGCCC